CAGUCGCCGCGGUAAUACGAAGGGGGCUAGCGUUGCUCGGAAUGACUGGGCGUAAAGGGCGCGUAGGCGGUUUUGACAGUCAGAUGUGAAAUUCCUGGGCUUAACCUGGGGGCUGCAGUGGAUACUGGGUCACUAGAGUGUGGUAGAGGAUAGUGGAAUUUCCGGUGUAGCAGUGAAAUGCGUAGAGAUCGGAAGGAACAUCUGUGGCGAAGGCGACUAUCUGGGCCAACACUGACACUGAGGCACGAAAGCGUGGGGAGCAAACAGGAUUAGAUACCCCAGUAGUCCCUGUCUCUUAUAC
This 301-nucleotide ribosomal RNA is filed under the name uncultured bacterium. Its description in RNAcentral is "partial 16S ribosomal RNA". It matches the Rfam family "Bacterial small subunit ribosomal RNA", at positions 509 to 807 of the family's 1533-position model. The record is from RNAcentral.